Manihot esculenta (cassava) is the source of this 2535-nucleotide RNA transcript. RefSeq lists it as uncharacterized. The transcript has 4 exons. The record is from RefSeq and is a predicted model, not a curated record. Lineage: Eukaryota; Viridiplantae; Streptophyta; Magnoliopsida; Malpighiales; Euphorbiaceae.
AAUGAUCAGUUGUAACUCAAAUCAAUCACUCAAAUCAAUCUUUCAGAAUCCGAUAAACCUAAUUUGAAGCACCGGAACAUCAAGAAGCUGUAGACAAGGUUGGUGAUUCCUGCUUGUGCUUAAAUCAUAGUAAUCAUGAGAUUCAAGAAAGGCAGUAAGGUGGAGGUGUUUAGCAAAAAGGAGGUGUCCACUGGUUCUUGGCUUUGUGCUGAAGUAAUUUCUGGGAAUGGGCACACAUAUAGCGUGAGAUAUGGUUGGUUUCCAUCGAGUGACAAAGCAGUUGUAGAAAGGGUGCCUAGGAAAGCAAUUAGGCCCUGUCCACCUCCUGUGCAAGGGGUAGAUUGGGUUUGUGGUGAUCUUGUUGAGGCUUUUCAGAACCUCUCUUGGCAAACAGCAAGGAUAAUGAAGGUUAUGGACAAGAACAGCUUUUUGGUUAGAAUACUUGGAAAGUGUGAAGCUUUGCGUGUUCAUAAAUCUCAUUUAAGAGUACGUCAGCGCUGGCAAGAUGGUAAAUGGAUUGUGGUUGAAAAGGGUUUGGAGAUUUGGCGCAUGAUUUUGGGUAAAAAUCAGCCAACUAUGGGGAUAAAUCAAUACUUUGGAGACAAUCAUGGUCUUAUAGGGAGAAGUAUCGAAAUUCAAAAGCAUCAUAUGGUUUCAACAAGAAAAUUGAAGAGAGGAUCAUCACUUGGCUUGUAUGAUCUUGAAGCUCAUCCGGUAACUGCUCAAAAGAAGAGACUGGUUGAAAAAGAUGGUAGCCAUCAUCCAAUUUGUUCAGUGCAUCCAUCUCCGACUCUUGAAAAGGUAGACACUGAUGUUUAUCCAAAUGUAGUAUUGGGUAAAAAUCAUGUUCUCUCUUCCUUUAAUGUUGGAACGGCUGAGUUUUCUAGAAUGGAUGAAAGUAGGGGAAAUGAUAAUUCUCUUGUUGAGUCCUCAAUAUCUGUGCAUACUGAUACUUGUGCAUCCUCUGUUGGUAGUUGUAGUGAAAUGGGCAGGGAUUCUCAGAGCUUGCCUUUUAGGUUUUGUUCGCCACAUUUUAACUGUAUAGAAGAUUACUGUAGUGAUGCUGAAUCCUCAUCUGGAGUGGAUUAUGAGAAAGAAAGAUGUUCUUUGGAUGCACAAUUGGGAGUGGAAUUCCAUAGGUCAGAAUUACGUAAGUAUUGUGCUGUUAUUGAGGAAUUAUAUGCUUUAGGGCCUUUGAGUUGGGAAGAUGAAGCAAAGUUGACAAAUCUACGUCAUGUUUUUCAUAUUUCAGAUGAUGAGCAUUUGAUGGUGCUAAGAAAAUUGAUACAUUCUAAUAGCAUGCUUGUCAGCUGACUUGAUUUAGUCUCCAUUUUUUUUCUCCUCUGUAUAUUCUGUCAUUGAUAUCGAGAGGUUGUACAGGACUAAAUGGCAUGAUAGAAAUGUAUAAUGAAUUUAACAAGUGUCAAGUUAUUCAGCUUAUUCCUUUUAGUUUUCCUAAAAUUUUAUUUUAUUCCAUUGCCUGAAUUUUUAUUAAAUAUCAGCAAAAUCACAGUAGUCAUUUGUCAUCAUUUGUAACAUUUCUUUGUGUAUGUGGUAAUUUCCACUUGUUCAGUUCAUUGAACUUGUAUUGUGGAGCAGUUUGUCAAAUAGAUUUUAAAUAAAUCUUCCGCUUACAUGAGAAGAUGAUCAUUUGCUAAAUUAGUAAAUAUCGUACUAUCCAAAUAUUUUGAGGAUAUGAGAUAAAUUUUUUUUUUUUUCAAAUGUCAAAUUACAUUUCCAGUGCAAGUCCUCCAAAGUUUUGUGUGAGGUUAAACAUUUGUGAAUUGCACAACGUGUGGUUUUUUUAUAUGCAAGAACCAGAAUUGUCAGGAGUUCUUUUGAUAUGAUCAUUUUACGGGAUUUUCCAUCAAACCUUUUUCAUAUCUCCUGUAAUGUAUGAUGUUUAGCAGCAUGGAGAUUAAGGUGAUGAAUAUGCUGAUGCUUCACCCGAGCAUAUCAUGGCCGAUAUUGGAGGCUUGCUUGUUAGUAGAAGCCUCAUGAUGAUGGAUGUUUCAGAGUUACCCUCGUACUCAGUUGGACCUUGGGGCAGCAUCCACACUUGAUUUCUCGCAGAAACUUGUGACUGGCUGCCCUGGCCAUUGUCUGUUCAGGUUUCAGAAUUUCAUGAACAUCCCACUAUCGGCGUUAUUCAUUAGAUGCCGCUACAGAACAUUUUUAAGCUGAUAGAUAUACUGAUGCUUCCCCAGGAAAUCCAAUGGACAAUGUCCAAGGCUUUUACACGUGUACAGAAUUCACCAGAUGAUGAUGCAUAAUGUUCAUCACUGUACGUCAUGUAUUUCCUACUGAAGUUGUUGUACCUAUCAGCCUUGGCUGUUGUGAUAAGUUUUUCCUUCUCUAAUAGCACUAGCUUCCUUUGAUGUUUUAUUUCGUUGAUGAAAAUUUAUGAAUUUCAUCUUAAGAUUCCUUAAUAAAAAUAAAAAUUCUGAACUUCAUAUUUGGCAGGGUACUCAAAUAUUAAGUUCAGUAGCUUGCUGUUCUGUGUAUUCUGUUAUACAAAGUUUCUUGUGGAUUAGA